UGAGAGAAGAUUUGGGUGUGUUUUGGUGGGCAAUAAAACCCUUUGCCUCCCUUCUCCGACAUUUGAACCACCAAUGUGUAAAAUCUAUGAAUUGGUCAUCAAAAAUAAACCCACCCACAAACCCACCCAUUUUUAAGGCUUUCACUUUUUUCACAAAAUUAAUCAUCAAUAAAUUCAAUAAUAAUAAUGCAAUUGCAAACCCACUGCAAAAGAUGAAUAAAAAAUUUUACCCUACAGAAAGAAAACCGGAGAGACAGAAACAGAGAAAGAAUUUUGUAGACUGCCGUUGUGUCUUGGACUUCAGUUGAUAUGGCUUCUUCCUUUGAAAGACCUAAAAGCUAUUUGGGGUGUUUUGUUUAUAUAUUUAUUUAUUUAUGUUAAGGCUUUUAAAAAAACGAAAAUUAAUAAUAAUAA
Molecule: long non-coding RNA, 414 nt
Filed under: Durio zibethinus
Lineage: Eukaryota; Viridiplantae; Streptophyta; Magnoliopsida; Malvales; Malvaceae
Description: long non-coding RNA (DZIB_LNC001279)
Source: RNAcentral